This 503-nucleotide ribosomal RNA is filed under the name uncultured Lysobacteraceae bacterium. RNAcentral describes it as "bacterial SSU rRNA". It matches the Rfam family "Bacterial small subunit ribosomal RNA", at positions 1003 to 1504 of the family's 1533-position model. The record is from RNAcentral. Lineage: Bacteria; Pseudomonadati; Pseudomonadota; Gammaproteobacteria; Lysobacterales; Lysobacteraceae.
GAGAUGCGGGAGUGCCGCAAGGAACGACAAGACAGGUGCUGCAUGGCUGUCAUCAGCUCGUGUCGUGAGAUGUUGGGUUAAGUCCCGCAACGAGCGCAACCCUUGUCCCUAGUUGCCAGCACGUAAUGGUGGGAACUCUAGGGAGACUGCCGGUGACAAACCGGAGGAAGGUGGGGAUGACGUCAAGUCCUCAUGGCCCUUACGGCCAGGGCUACACACGUACUACAAUGGUCGGUACAGAGGGUUGCGAAGCCGCGAGGUGGAGCCAAUCCCAGAAAGCCGAUCCCAGUCCGGAUCGGAGUCUGCAACUCGACUCCGUGAAGUCGGAAUCGCUAGUAAUCGCGAAUCAGCUAUGUCGCGGUGAAUACGUUCCCGGGCCUUGUACACACCGCCCGUCACACCAUGGGAGUUGGCUGCACCAGAAGCAGGUAGUCUAACCGCAAGGAGGACGCCUACCACGGUGUGGUCAAUGACUGGGGUGAAGUCGUAACAAGGUAGCCGUA